RNAcentral lists this ribosomal RNA (773 nucleotides) under uncultured Neocallimastigales. RNAcentral's name for it is "partial large subunit ribosomal RNA". It matches the Rfam family "Eukaryotic large subunit ribosomal RNA", at positions 23 to 645 of the family's 3401-position model. Lineage: Eukaryota; Fungi; Neocallimastigomycota; Neocallimastigomycetes; Neocallimastigales. The record is from RNAcentral.
AGAGAGAGACAUGCGCGCAUAUCAAUAAGCGGAGGAAAAGAAACUAACUAGGAUUCCCUCAGUAACGGCGAGUGAGGCGGGAAGAGCUCAAAUUUGAAAUCUUCAAGGUUCUACCUUGACGAAUUGUAGUUUAAAGAAGUGUUUUCUGUUGGAGUUUUGGUAAAAGUUCUUUGGAAUAGGACAUCAUAGAGGGUGAGAAUCCCGUAUUUGACCAUUAUUUCCAGCUUUGUGAUACACUUUCAAAGAGUCGGAUUGUUUGGGAAUGCAGUCCAAAAUGGGUGGUAAAUUUCAUCUAAAGCUAAAUAUUGGCGAGAGACCGAUAGCGAACAAGUACCGUGAGGGAAAGAUGAAAAGAACUUUGAAAAGAGAGUUAAACAGUACGUGAAAUUGUCAAAAGGGAAGCGUUUGACACCAGUGUUGUUUUCUCGAAAAUCAGUUAAAAAAGGCAGGAUUUUGUGUUGUAUUGACUUUAUCAGCUUUCUGCACUCUUUUCUUGUCUUUUUUAAUGCACUUUUCGUUUAACAAGUCAACAUCAAUUUCUUUUGUUGUAAAAGGGUCAUUGGAAGGUGGCUUUCUUUUCGGAGAAAGUGUUUAUAGCCUUUGGCCUCUGCAAUCGGAGAGAUUGAGGUCUGCAGCGUAGAUCCUUCGGGGUUAGAUACAUUUGUGCUAAGUUAUAGCCUUUCAUAGACAACUUGUUGACUAUGAUCAGUCAUGUAGCUUACUCGCUUAUGCUAUUUUACCUACGCUUAGGAUGUUGAUGUGAUACUGCGAGC